CAAGUCGAGCGGGAAGGGUAGCUUGCUUCCUAACCUAGCGGCGGACGGGUGAGUAAUGCUUAGGAAAUCUGCCUAUUAGUGGGGGACAACAUUCCGAAAGGAAUGCUAAUACCGCAUACGCCCUACGGGGGAAAGCAGGGGAUCUUCGGACCUUGCGCUAAUAGAUGAGCCUAAGUCAGAUUAGCUAGUUGGUGGGGUAAAGGCCUACCAAGGCGACGAUCUGUAGCGGGUCUGAGAGGAUGAUCCGCCACACUGGGACUGAGACACGGCCCAGACUCCUACGGGAGGCAGCAGUGGGGAAUAUUGGACAAUGGGCGAAAGCCUGAUCCAGCCAUGCCGCGUGUGUGAAGAAGGCCUUUUGGUUGUAAAGCACUUUAAGCGAGGAGGGGCUACUUAGAUUAAUACUCUAGGAUAGUGGACGUUACUCGCAGAAUAAGCACCGGCUAACUCUGUGCCAGCAGCCGCGGUAAUACAGAGGGUGCGAGCGUUAAUCGGAUUUACUGGGCGUAAAGCGUGCGUAGGCGGCUUUUUAAGUCGGAUGUGAAAUCCCUGAGCUUAACUUAGGAAUUGCAUUCGAUACUGGGGAGCUAGAGUAUGGGAGAGGAUGGUAGAAUUCCAGGUGUAGCGGUGAAAUGCGUAGAGAUCUGGAGGAAUACCGAUGGCGAAGGCAGCCAUCUGGCCUAAUACUGACGCUGAGGUACGAAAGCAUGGGGAGCAAACAGGAUUAGAUACCCUGGUAGUCCAUGCCGUAAACGAUGUCUACUAGCCGUUGGGGCCUUUGAGGCUUUAGUGGCGCAGCUAACGCGAUAAGUAGACCGCCUGGGGAGUACGGUCGCAAGACUAAAACUCAAAGGAAUUGACGG
This 863-nucleotide ribosomal RNA is filed under the name uncultured bacterium. Its description in RNAcentral is "bacterial SSU rRNA". It matches the Rfam family "Bacterial small subunit ribosomal RNA", at positions 58 to 916 of the family's 1533-position model. The record is from RNAcentral.